This is a long non-coding RNA of Bubalus bubalis (water buffalo), 158 nucleotides long. RefSeq lists it as uncharacterized. Lineage: Eukaryota; Metazoa; Chordata; Mammalia; Artiodactyla; Bovidae. The transcript has 2 exons. The record is from RefSeq and is a predicted model, not a curated record.
GGAAAAGGGGACAACAGAGGAUGAGAUGGCUGGAUGGCAUCACCGACUCAAUGGACGAUCCGUUGAAUUGUUACUUUGUGUUUCACAGCUGGGAAUUUGUGAAUGGAUUCUUCCCUCAUCGACUAGUUCUAAUUGCCUUAUAAAAAAAUCUAAAACUG